RNAcentral lists this ribosomal RNA (192 nucleotides) under Roseibium sp. RKSG952. RNAcentral describes it as "partial 23S ribosomal RNA". It matches the Rfam family "Bacterial large subunit ribosomal RNA", at positions 1 to 207 of the family's 2925-position model. The record is from RNAcentral. Lineage: Bacteria; Pseudomonadati; Pseudomonadota; Alphaproteobacteria; Hyphomicrobiales; Stappiaceae.
GAGUGAUCAAGUGUCUUAAGGGCAUUCGGUGGAUGCCUUGGCGACAAGAGGCGAUGAAAGACGUGAUACGCUGCGAUAAGCCAUGGGGAGCUGCGAAUAAGCUUUGAUCCGUGGAUUUCUGAAUGGGGCAACCCACUCCGUAUGGAGUAUCCCUUAAAGGGAAGCAAACCCGGGGAACUGAAACAUCUAAGU